RNAcentral lists this long non-coding RNA (466 nucleotides) under Gossypium barbadense (sea-island cotton). RNAcentral describes it as "long non-coding RNA (GBAR_LNC021570)". Lineage: Eukaryota; Viridiplantae; Streptophyta; Magnoliopsida; Malvales; Malvaceae. The record is from RNAcentral.
UUAUUGCAAUCACUUAAUAUGAUAAGAAAAUCAGCCCCGAAUGGUCCAAAGUGGUGAGCAAAAAUCAACAAAAGAAUCGAGCAUUCACCCGACUAGAGAGGAUGACAGCAAAAUCAUCCCUAAAAUCACUUGUAAAAUUAAAAUUGCAUGCAUAAGCAAGACUAAAAAACAUGCUAUAAGAGCAGACAAUAACUUCUAAAACUGAAGACUUAUUAAACAAUGGGAAAACAAAAAAAAAUAUAAAACUUAAGACAACAUAAGUUCAAAUCGACUCGAGAAAUCAUUUAUUAUUCUAAAAUACUCUCAAAACAGAAAUAGAUUAAGAAGCUGAUGAAGAGCCACCCACUUUCCAAGAAAAACUACUGGUGGCCGGUGGAGUUUUAGCAAACGACAAGCACCGUCAUUUGUCCAUCACAACUUGUGAAAACAACAAAAAUACCCACAAAAUAAAUCUGCAAAUAGAAAU